Molecule: small nuclear RNA, 105 nt
Organism: Trichechus manatus latirostris (Florida manatee)
Lineage: Eukaryota; Metazoa; Chordata; Mammalia; Sirenia; Trichechidae
Source: RefSeq, a predicted model, not a curated record
GUGCUCGCUUCUGCAGCACAUAUACUAAAAUUGGAAUGUCACAGAGAAGAUUAGCAGGGCCCUGUGAAGGAUGACAUGCAAAUUCAUAACGCGUUCCAUAUUUUU